This 73-nucleotide transfer RNA is filed under the name bacterium. RNAcentral's name for it is "tRNA-Phe". It matches the Rfam family "tRNA". Rfam says of the family: Transfer RNA (tRNA) molecules are approximately 80 nucleotides in length. Their secondary structure includes four short double-helical elements and three loops (D, anti-codon, and T loops). The record is from RNAcentral. RNAcentral also lists the same sequence under 1 other name.
GCCGAGGUAGCUCAGUUGGUAGAGCACUUCACUGAAAAUGAAGGGGUCCCCAGUUCAAGUCUGGGCCUCGGCA